ACAGAGGGUGCGAGCGUUGUCCGGAAUCACUGGGCGUAAAGGGCGCGUAGGCGGCCGAGCAAGGUCGCGGUGAAAGCCCCCGGCUCAACUGGGGAGGGUCACGCGAUACUGCUCGACUCGAAGGCAGGAGAGGGAAGUGGAAUUCCCGGUGUAGUGGUGAAAUGCGUAGAUAUCGGGAGGAACACCAGUGGCGAAGGCGACUUCCUGGCCUGUUCUUGACGCUGAGGCGCGAAAGCUAGGGUAGCAAACGGGA
This 253-nucleotide ribosomal RNA is filed under the name uncultured prokaryote. RNAcentral describes it as "partial 16S ribosomal RNA". It matches the Rfam family "Bacterial small subunit ribosomal RNA", at positions 525 to 777 of the family's 1533-position model. The record is from RNAcentral.